UAAGUUUGUUCUUGGUAUAAGCUUUUGUGUGCAUGAAGUAUGCAUGCACAUGAAAGCUUAUACCAAGAACAAACUUA
Molecule: microRNA precursor, 77 nt
Filed under: Podarcis lilfordi (Lilford's wall lizard)
Lineage: Eukaryota; Metazoa; Chordata; Lepidosauria; Squamata; Lacertidae
Source: RNAcentral